RNAcentral lists this transfer RNA (85 nucleotides) under Felis catus (domestic cat). It matches the Rfam family "tRNA". From Rfam's summary of the family: Transfer RNA (tRNA) molecules are approximately 80 nucleotides in length. Their secondary structure includes four short double-helical elements and three loops (D, anti-codon, and T loops). The record is from Rfam by way of RNAcentral. Lineage: Eukaryota; Metazoa; Chordata; Mammalia; Carnivora; Felidae. RNAcentral also lists the same sequence under 2 other names.
UCCUGGGUGGCUCGGUUGGUUAAGCAUCUGAUUUCGGCUCAGACUAUGAUCUUGCAGUUCGUGAGUUCAAGCCCCACAUCAGGAG